This 2579-nucleotide long non-coding RNA is filed under the name Mus musculus (house mouse). RNAcentral's name for it is "long non-coding RNA chr2:112379230-112381809". Lineage: Eukaryota; Metazoa; Chordata; Mammalia; Rodentia; Muridae. The record is from RNAcentral.
GCGCGCGGCGGUGUUUGAAUGGCUGUGAGUGGGGCCCGGCUGGGGAUCCGAGGGACGCUCCGAGCUGCCGGGAGCGGUUCAUCAGCACAGUGGCUGAGCUUGGGCGCUGCGGUACCAUGAGGCGCCGGUAAGUGACGGCCGGACCCGGUUGGGGCCUUCGCUGCUGCUCGCGCGGCGGGCUUCUUGAGCAGCUGGCCGGGCCCACCUGCAGGCCCCGCGGCAGCGGCCUUUCCGGGGCUGGGCGGCGGGGUCGGGGCGGGACGCAGGCGGGUGGGGCCCCCGGUCUCCCGCGGAGCCCCCGGGCGAGCGGUUGUCUGGAGGUUGGAGCUGCAGGCCUCGGGGGUCCUGGCAGGAGAGGCAUGGAUCAAACCUACUGUCAUUUAUUUAUCUUCGGGUGGAGUCGACAUCUGCACCCUACGGGGAAAGACGGGGCGCGUGAGAAGAUUGCUCUGCGAGGACAGGUUUUCCCCAGAGCAGCCUAGGCCCGGCUGAGGCAUUUCCUUAUUUUUCUGAGGAAUUUUUGAGUCCCAGACAGAUCGGCUUUUGUUUCUAAGGACAGAAACUUGACAUAGCCGCAUAAGAAUCAUUGACUGCAACUUUUAAAACCUCGUUGUGCUUUCUGAAAAGUUAUUCCGUAAUUGUACCUAGGUGCUUAACUGAGCUUAGGCAUGGAGAUAACAAAGAGUUGAUUUGUUUUGUACUGGCUUCUAAAGUCCCUUGAAAACAGCUAUAUCAAUUUCUUGGCAGAUCUGGAGAAAAAAGUAACUGGAAGAGAUAAUUCUAUAAUUAUUGCCGAUUUCGUACUUAACGAGCUCGCUGAGACACCAGUCCACCUAAUAUCUGAAACUUUAUACAAAAUCAUUCAGGAUUUUUCCUCUCUCAUAUAUUUUUGGUUGUGAGCCUAGCCUUUAACGGCUGAGCCAUCUCUCCAGCCCUCUUCUCUCUUUCAAAUCAGCUUCUUCAAGUCAGAAGUUUAUGCAUGGAGGCUUUUUGCUUGGAUAGUAGCUGGACUUGUAAUAAGCCAUAACGAGUAAUAACUUACUUAUUUUGUUUUCUGUGUGCUAAGAGUUGUUUUAAGAGUGCUGCUUUGGAAUAGGUAGUAUUAUCAUCAUUUUGACACGGGAAAAAGGCACGGGGAAGUCAUCUUAGGUAGGGUUACAUAGUUAUUUGCUCCACAAAGCCACAGGGCCGCCUCCUCUGCCUUGAUCUUACUAAUGUCCAAAGUGUUGUUUCAUUUGCUUGAGCUUCGGAGAUAUUUAUGUGCGUACGCCUCUGUGUACACUACACAUGAAUGAAUCCACACACCAACCACAUUCCCUGCUCGUAUUGACCACGAUUAAUUUUUGUGUUUGAGGGAAAAAAAUGUUUCUAAGAUAAAUAGAAAUAAGGUUUAUGGUUUCACUUUUCAGAGACCAGAGAACAGCUGGAAACAUGAUUCUUUAAAACUGGGUACACUAUUUUGUAUUUGGAAUGAGUAUACUUCAUAACACCUUGCAGAGAAACACCUCAAGAGUAAGCUACCUUCAGUAGUCAGCACUUAUUCAUAUGGAAACCUUGAAACUUCAUUCAGCAAUUACUGAGGUUUCUAUUGCCUCAGUGUCCAGCACAGUACUGGAUCCAGUGAGCUAUAUUCAAGAAAUGUGCCAGGCAACAGGUAUUAGGGAAGUUAGUUUGGUGUGAGAUUAGUUACAAAAUAAUAUACUCUUCCUUGGGGCAGUGAUGUAUGAUGAUCUGGACUGGGUAAAUCUGCUAUACAGCUAAGAAAUGAAGGGCUUGUGUAAGACAUUUAUAGAAAGGGAGGCAGGGUAUUUUACUGAAGAAACUGUUCAAAGACUAGGAAUCCAGACCAAAAAUUACUUUUAAUGGGAACAGUAAGUUAUCUUUUUAAAAGUUCAUGUUGGUUAACAUCAUAUGAAAUAAGACUGGGAAAUGUUGUAAAUGACACAUGUCAUAGAGGUCUGAUACACCCAGAGUUCUCAGGCACACAAAGAUUUGGGAAUUUGUAAAAUUUUGUUGCAGUGGCUCUCAACUGGGUCAAGUUUUCUCCUUAGGAUAUUUAGGGUUGUCAGACAUAAGGAAAGGUUGAUACUGUCAAUCUACUGUCCAUAGGCUGGAGUACUUAUAAGCAUCCUGCAUCAGACAGACUCCCAUAAGAAACAAUCACUCCAAGGGUCAGUGUUGCUGUGGUUGCGAAACCCUAAUUUUAAGUUGGUUGGUUAUGUGGCUGGCUUCCACUCACAUAUGUUAUAGGUAAGUAGGAAUGACAAAUUUUAGGAACACAACUAGACUUCAUAAUGACAUUAGGAGUGGUUUAGAGUUCUCCCAAAGGCUGUUCCAAUCCUAGAGGAGAGGUGUGUAGGAGAUAGGCAGGAGCUUUAAGAAUGCUAAAAUUAAGGUAAGAAUCACUAAAUUUUAUUUUAUCUAAAUGUGAAGAUAACAAAAAUUCAUUUGAAAUAGAAAAUGAACAUAAUAGAAAAUAGAAAACAGAACAUAAGCAGAAAUAAGGGCCAGCAGGAUGGUUCAAGCAGCCAGAAGUGCUUGCCUUGUGAGUCUGAUGACUUGAGUUGACUCUGCAAUCC